UGCGUGCGUGCGCGCACGCGUACGUGUUUUGUGAGCUUUUUGCGUGGGCGCGCGUGCUUGUGUGUGUGUGUGUGUGUAUUGCAUAAGGUCGGUAGUUUUACACGCAACAAACCUCUUCAAAAUUGGUGCAGCGGCUGCCCCCGCCCUGAAAAGCGAGUUUGGUGUCGAGCCACCCUGGAAGCCACCCUGGGUUAUAUGGAGGGGCCGGAGGUCCAGUGGAAGGUGUCAUCCAGAUGACAGCCUCACAAUUCCCAGCCUUUGUGCUCUCCAUCAGAAAGUCAUCAGGGGCAAGCCACUUAUGUUUGCCUUCAGACAAGACAACAUUGUAAUAGGAUUCCAGCACAGCCAUCCGUUGCACUUAUGGUCAAGAUACUCUGACAAUGGAGUCCCUGUUCCUUGUGGUUAACCGUGAACAGUAUUCUCGCUUUUAUGAAAGCUAAAGGUGAUUUCCUGCAUAAAUUAGAACUUUGCAGCUCAAAUGUAUACACUUUAUUCUAAUUUGAAUCAACUAAUAUAUGCUGUUUAAUACUUUUAUACUGUUUGAUACAAUCAUUUCUUGUUGGAGAAUAUUAAGCGUGAUGUUUAACAUUUAUUUAUGCAUGACUGGCUGAUGCAUGAUGGCCUUUGUUUAAAAAAUGUGAACUCACACAUUUGAAGCUUGAUUCAGUAACCGGAGUAUGGCUGAUUUAAUAAACAUUAUUUGCUCAUUUAUGUACUCACGUGCUACAAGCCCUAAUCUUCCAUUAUCGUACCAAGUACAAAUAAUUUAGAAAUUGGCAAUGUAUAUUAACUUCAUCCGCAUGUGGCCAGUAGAGUAGCUUAAUGAAAAGUGCUUUGUUUUUAUAAGGCCCCCAUUCAUAUGUCACUUCACACCUAAACAGUAAUAAAUGUGGCAUAUUUAGGCUUUUGUCUUGCAGUAGAAAAAAACCAUUUUCAAGCAACAUAUUUUAUAACAGACCAUGCAGUGCUUUUGUAUUACAAAAAUUUAAGGAAAC
Long non-coding RNA from Dermacentor silvarum, 995 nucleotides. RefSeq lists it as uncharacterized. NCBI's taxonomy places the organism in Eukaryota, Metazoa, Arthropoda, Arachnida, Ixodida, Ixodidae. The record is from RefSeq and is a predicted model, not a curated record. The transcript is spliced from 3 exons.